This 253-nucleotide ribosomal RNA is filed under the name uncultured bacterium. RNAcentral's name for it is "partial 16S ribosomal RNA". It matches the Rfam family "Bacterial small subunit ribosomal RNA", at positions 524 to 776 of the family's 1533-position model. The record is from RNAcentral.
UACAGAGGUCCCGAGCGUUGUUCGGAUUCACUGGGCGUAAAGGGUGCGUAGGCGGUCGGAUAAGUUUGAUGUGAAAUCUCCGGGCUUAACCCGGAAACUGCAUUGAAUACUAUUCGGCUUGAGGUCUGGAGGGGAGACUGGAAUUCCUGGUGUAGCGGUGGAAUGCGCAGAUAUCAGGAGGAACACCGGUGGCGAAGGCGGGUCUCUGGGCAGUAACUGACGCUGAGGAGCGAAAGCGUGGGGAGCGAACAGG